CACGAUCGAUCUCCUCCUGAAGUACCGGCGCAAGUGCAUUAAGAAUUUGUGGGUUGCCUUUUGAAAAAAGUCAAAUCCUAUAAAUUUAAAGUAGGAAUUUGUAAAAUAAGAAAAGAAGACAAGUGCUAAGUUUUAGUAAAAACAUGCUUAGAUGGGAAAUAGUUAAGAGAAAUCAGGAUUAGAAGAUAUGUUAAAUUUAAAAAAAUACAAUAUGUUUUAAUAUUAAAUAGGUAAAA
Drosophila ficusphila is the source of this 236-nucleotide long non-coding RNA. RefSeq lists it as uncharacterized. The transcript has 2 exons. Lineage: Eukaryota; Metazoa; Arthropoda; Insecta; Diptera; Drosophilidae. The record is from RefSeq and is a predicted model, not a curated record.